AAGUCGAGCGGUAACAGAUCCAGCUUGCUGGAUGCUGACGAGCGGCGGACGGGUGAGUAAUGCAUAGGAAUCUGCCCGGUAGUGGGGGAUAACCUGGGGAAACCCAGGCUAAUACCGCAUACGUCCUACGGGAGAAAGGGGGCUUCGGCUCCCGCUAUCGGAUGAGCCUAUGUCGGAUUAGCUAGUUGGUGAGGUAACGGCUCACCAAGGCCACGAUCCGUAGCUGGUCUGAGAGGAUGAUCAGCCACAUCGGGACUGAGACACGGCCCGAACUCCUACGGGAGGCAGCAGUGGGGAAUAUUGGACAAUGGGGGGAACCCUGAUCCAGCCAUGCCGCGUGUGUGAAGAAGGCCCUCGGGUUGUAAAGCACUUUCAGCGAGGAAGAACGCCUAGCGGUUAAUACCCGCUAGGAAAGACAUCACUCGCAGAAGAAGCACCGGCUAACUCCGUGCCAGCAGCCGCGGUAAUACGGAGGGUGCAAGCGUUAAUCGGAAUUACUGGGCGUAAAGCGCGCGUAGGUGGCUUGAUAAGCCGGUUGUGAAAGCCCCGGGCUCAACCUGGGAACGGCAUCCGGAACUGUCAAGCUAGAGUGCAGGAGAGGAAGGUAGAAUUCCCGGUGUAGCGGUGAAAUGCGUAGAGAUCGGGAGGAAUACCAGUGGCGAAGGCGGCCUUCUGGACUGACACUGACACUGAGGUGCGAAAGCGUGGGUAGCAAACAGGAUUAGAUACCCUGGUAGUCCACGCCGUAAACGAUGUCGACCAGCCGUUGGGUGCCUAGCGCACUUUGUGGCGAAGUUAACGCGAUAAGUCGACCGCCUGGGGAGUACGGCCGCAAGGUUAAAACUCAAAUGAAUUGACGGGGGCCCGCACAGCGGGUGGAGCAUGUGGUUUAAUUCGAUGCAACGCGAAGAACCUU
Molecule: ribosomal RNA, 916 nt
Filed under: Bacillus sp. C2(2010)
Lineage: Bacteria; Bacillati; Bacillota; Bacilli; Caryophanales; Bacillaceae
Description: bacterial SSU rRNA
Rfam family: Bacterial small subunit ribosomal RNA
Source: RNAcentral